RNAcentral lists this ribosomal RNA (403 nucleotides) under bacterium. Its description in RNAcentral is "partial 16S ribosomal RNA". It matches the Rfam family "Bacterial small subunit ribosomal RNA", at positions 355 to 776 of the family's 1533-position model. The record is from RNAcentral.
UGGGGAAUAUUGCACAAUGGGGGAAACCCUGAUGCAGCGACGCCGCGUGAACGAAGAAGGUAUUCGUAUCGUAAAGUUCUGUCCUAUGGGAAGAUAAUGACAGUACCAUAGAAGAAAGCUCCGGCUAAAUACGUGCCAGCAGCCGCGGUAAUACGUAUGGAGCGAGCGUUGUCCGGCAUUAUUGGGCGUAAAGGGUACGCAGGCGUUUUAAUAAGUCGAAUGUUAAAGAUCGGGGCUCAACCCCGUAAAGCAUUGGAAACUGAUAAACUUGAGUAGUGGAGAGGAAAGUGGAAUUCCUAGUGUAGUGGUGAAAUACGUAGAUAUUAGGAGGAAUACCAGUAGCGAAGGCGACGUUCUGGACACAAACUGACGCUGAGGUACGAAAGCGUGGGGAGCAAACAGG